RNAcentral lists this small nuclear RNA (99 nucleotides) under Zalophus californianus (California sea lion). Lineage: Eukaryota; Metazoa; Chordata; Mammalia; Carnivora; Otariidae. The record is from RNAcentral.
UACACUUUGGCAGCACUAGAGUAAAAUAGGAACAAUACAGAGAUAGUAUGGCCCCUAUGCAAGGAUGACGUGCAAAUUCGUGAAUCAUUCCAUAUGUUU